RNAcentral lists this ribosomal RNA (301 nucleotides) under uncultured bacterium. Its description in RNAcentral is "partial 16S ribosomal RNA". It matches the Rfam family "Bacterial small subunit ribosomal RNA", at positions 509 to 807 of the family's 1533-position model. The record is from RNAcentral.
CAGCAGCCGCGGGAAUACGUAGGGUGCGAGCGUUAAUCGGAAUUACUGGGCGUAAAGCGUGCGCAGGCGGUUCGUUAAGACAGAUGUGAAAUCCCCGGGCUUAACCUGGGAACUGCAUUUGUGACUGACGGGCUAGAGUAUGGCAGAGGGGGGUAGAAUUCCACGUGUAGCAGUGAAAUGCGUAGAGAUGUGGAGGAAUACCGAUGGCGAAGGCAGCCCCCUGGGCCAAUACUGACGCUCAUGCACGAAAGCGUGGGGAGCAAACAGGAUUAGAUACCCCGGUAGUCCCUGUCUCUUAUAC